Molecule: RNA transcript, 4924 nt
Organism: Vitis vinifera (wine grape)
Lineage: Eukaryota; Viridiplantae; Streptophyta; Magnoliopsida; Vitales; Vitaceae
Gene name: nuclear intron maturase 2, mitochondrial
Exons: 6
Source: RefSeq, a predicted model, not a curated record
AGACAAAUUAUUUCUAAAAUCGCUAUUAGAAACGGCGGCUUCAAGGGUUUUAGGCACUGAAAAACCCUAGUAGUGGACUGGAGAAAUUAGUGAGAGCGUUGCCUUCGCCAGAAAGGCAGAAACUAUACGUUGUAGCUCAACGAAGCCUCUCUUCUCCCUUGCACCAAUCCGAAACAUUUGAUUUUCGGCUUCUCCGUUUCUUGAACUAUUUUGGUGGCAACGAACAUACUGUGGGGAAAUGACAUGAACUAUAUGCAUCAUCAACGCCUCGCCGUCUUGGCUCAUCGGGUACUCGUAAAGCAUGUGGUACUUGUAAACCAUGUGGUACUCGUAAACCAUUCUUUUUCUGCAACCAACAACUUCUUAUUGUAUGCAAAAUCUGAUUUUCCAAACCCUAGGAAUAAUGGGUUUUCGUUUUUUCGAGCUUUCUCAUUCGCGGCGGCCAACCGUAGGACACCGGACCCCGAUGACCCAUCCACCUUGAUGAAGGAAGAUGGGGUUGCUCUGUGCUCCCAAAUGUGGAUCGAUAAUUUUCGAGUACCGGAUGCUACUGUGACCAAUUUGACCUCUUUUCUCCGUAGAUUUGAGUUGUGGGUAUUGGCCUACCAAAAGGUUUGCGCUGAUGAGAUGGGGGCUUAUAUGCCCCGGAGUGCGAUACAAAGAUCAGCGCUUGAAGACUUGUUAGGGCUGCGCAAUGCAGUUCUUGAUUCUAGGUUUAAGUGGGGAGCUAGGUUGGAGUUCUUUAUAAAAUCUCCCAAGGACAAGACCGAGUAUGAAUCAUUGUCUAAGAGGAAAAUUAGGGCUAUUUUGACUACCACGCAGCCUGCCCCAUUUCAAGAUAAGAUAGUUCAAGAGGUUUUGUUUAUGAUUUUGGAGCCAAUUUAUGAGGCACGGUUCUCAGAGAAGUCGUUUGCAUUUAGACCUGGGAGAAAUGCUCAUUCGGUGUUGCGGGUCAUUCGCCGAAGUUUUGCCGGUUAUUUAUGGUAUAUAAAAGGGGAUUUGAGUACGAUAUUGGAUGGGAUGAAGGUGGGGUUGGUGAUAAGUGCUUUAAUGAGGGAUGUUAGAGAUAAAAAGGUGAUUGAUUUGCUGAAGGCAGCGUUAGUCACACCAGUGAUCACAAGUCAGGUUGAUGAAGGAGAGAAGAAGAAAAAGAAGAAGAGGAAGUAUCAAAAGAAGAGGGUGUUAGCAGAAGAUGAGCCAAAACCUGACCCAUAUUGGUUAGAGACCUUUUUUGGGUUUGCUCCUGAGGAGGCAGAGAAGCUUCCUUCUUGGGGGCAUUGUGGGAUUCUUAGUCCCCUUUUAGCUAAUGUAUGUCUAGAUGAACUGGAUCGUUGGAUGGAGGGUAAGAUUAAGGAGUUUUAUCGCCCGUCAAAGAGUGAUGUCAUAUGGAAUAGUCCGGAUGGGGAAGUAGAACAAGGGAAUACAUCUUGGCCAGAAUUUGUCCCUACUAGUGGCCCAGACAAAACCAGAAAAAUGGAUUAUAUAAGAUAUGGGGGUCACAUUUUGAUUGGAGUUCGAGGACCUAGAGCUGAUGCUGCAAUAUUGAGAAAGCAGUUGAUUGAGUUUUGUGAUCAGAAAUAUAUGCUUAAGCUUGACAGUGAGAGCCUUCCUAUUGAACAUAUAACUAAGGGCAUAAUGUUUCUCGAUCAUGUGUUGUGCCGGAGAGUUGUGUAUCCUACUCUUCGGUACACUGCAACUGGUGGGAAGAUCAUUAGUGAGAAGGGUGUGGGCACCCUUUUGUCUGUCACUGCAAGCUUGAAACAAUGCAUUAAGCAAUUUAGGAAGUUGAGCUUUCUUAAAGGGGAUAGGGAUCCAGAUCCACAACCUUGUUUCAGAAUGUUUCAUGCCACUCAGGCUCAUACAAAUGCUCAAAUGAAUAAGCUAUUGUCGACUAUGGUUGAGUGGUAUAGGUAUGCAGAUAACCGGAAGAAAGUUGUGAACUUCUGUUCAUACAUAAUAAGGGGAUCGCUUGCAAAGCUUUAUGCUGCAAAAUACAAGCUCCGUUCCCGAGCAAAGGUGUAUAAAAUCGGUGCACGAAAUUUGAGCCGUCCUUUGAAGGAGAAAAAAGGGCAGUCUCCGGAGUACCAUAAUUUGCUGAGGAUGGGUCUUGUGGAGUCAAUUGACGGACUUCAUUAUACCCGGAUGUCUCUUGUACCUGAGACUGAUUACUCCCCUUUCCCGAGUAAUUGGAGGCCUGAUCACGAAAAGGCUUUGCUUGAGUAUAUAAAGCUUGAUGAUUCUAAAACUCUGGAGGAGCAAAGGAGUUGUCUUAGAGAACAUGGUCUUGUUUCACCCCAGGAUUACAUUUCAAUGCUUGUUUGGAACUACAAAAGAAAUGCAAUCAUAGUGGACCAGCUUUCUGUUGGGAAGAGUGGUGUCAGUGAUGCACAAAGAGGGAAAGAAUUGCUGCUGGGAUCUACCCAUGAGAAUUAUGAUCACAGAUCCAGAGACGAGGAAGACAAGGAAGAAGGAUUUCAUGCAGCUCAAAUUUAAUAAAUACAUUUAUAUUCUGUGCUUGCCAGGCCAAUUUUAUUUUUUGUGCAAGUAGGCAUUUGUACCAGUAAGAGGGGAAGCAACCCAUGAGAACUAUGAUUGCAAAUUCAAAGAUGAGGAAAACAAGGAAGAAGGAUUUCAUGCUGAGCAAAUUUGCUCUCCAUCUUAGGAGUGACGUCAAUCAGUAAGCUGAAAUUCACUAUGCAGUGUUCCUUGAAAUGCCAGAAUCCACAUCUCCCAUCCUUGUUGUGCCUGAGGAUGCACAUGGACUCGUUGUACUCUCAAGCUCAUAUUUUUAAAACCCAGAAGCAUCCCCGCCAAGUUGAUAAAAAAAUGGGAGGAAGUUCAUCUUAUCUUGCUGCUCCAUUGUUUGCAUGUAGCUUUCAUUGCCACACCAGAGCAUCGGUCCGAAAAUUAGGGCUGCAACUUGAAUGAGUUAUAAAAACUGUAACUUGGAUCGGUAGGAUCCGAAAAUUAGGGCUGUAACUUGGAUGGAUUAUAAAAACUGUAACUUGGAUUGGUAGGAUUAGGUUGGUGGCAAAUUCAAACUCAACCCAAUAGAGGUGUUUAUCCAUGUUCAAUUGGAUCUUUUUUUUUUUUUUUUUUUUUAAAUGUAUAUAUAUAAAUUUGAAUUGUAAGUGGGAUAAAAUAUUUUUCUUUAAAAAUCUGAAAAGAUGACAAGUUAGAUUUGGAUUUGUCUAACUCAACCUUGAAAAGGCAAUGUGGGGGAAAGUUUUUCGAAUCCAAUUUUCAAAAAAUAGUUUUUAACAAUAAUUCUUAAAAAUGGCCCCAAAUAAAAUUCUAUUAAAAAAAAUUUAAAUAUAAAAAAUAAUUUUCCUUUAAAUAGGUUUCCAAAUAUUCUCUAUAUUUUCAUUUCAAAACACCAUAAAUUUAUUCUAAAAAAUAAUAUAAAUAUUUUGAAAAAAAUUUCAAAAAUUUGUUUAUUGUAAGAAAUAUUGUUAAAUGUGUUUGCAGAAUCAUAAAACUAUUUUUUUCCCUAUGUUUUCAAUAAAAAGUCAACUUUCUUUGGGUAGCAUAUGAAAAUGAAACUAUUUUUGUUAUAUUCAUCCGGUAUUGUAUGGUACAAAUUUUUCCAAAAUUUUAAGUAUUUGAUAAAGCAUAAAUCAUACCGGUUGAGACCAAAUUUUUGUUAUAGAUUCCUUAUUCUGUUUUGAAAAUUAAAGUAAAAAUAUAAUAAUAGUUUUUAUGAAUUUAUAUAUUUUUUAAUAUAUUUAUGUCUUUUAAAAUAUUUUUAAAUACUUAAUUUUUAGUUUUAUUUCAAUAAUCUCAUAUUUUUAAACCUAAAAUUUAUUUCUUGGUAUAUCAAAAUUGGAGUGGAAAAGCCCUAAUUAACCUUUUUUUAUUUUUAUUUUUUAAAUGGUUUUCAAAUGGAAUAAGUCGAUUAAAACCAGUAAAACCUCCUCAAAACCCCAGGCUCAAAUGCCCGUUCCUCGUCUCAACAGCCAUCGACGGCCGCAAUCGGAGAACAAAUCCAUUGUAAACCCUCUCAACCAAAUUCAUUGUCGAAUGGUUUCUCAUUCUCAUUUCGUCCAUUGAGGUACCUUACCCUCACUGUAAAUUAGUUCUCUGGAGGUGGGUUUUCGAGUUUUGUCUCUUUCAAAUUUUGAUUGAAUUUUUGCCUUCUGGGCUUGGUUUCCUCUUCCCAGUUGUUUCUGAUAAUUUCUUUCUAGCUCUUUCAAGCUGAACUAGGUUUUGAGGGCAUGCCAAUAAUCCUCUGAGGCUCCUUCGAGUCCAGCUGCUGGUGAAGCUUAUGAAUUGGGGUUUGGGGAUCCUAUUGCUAUAUCUGCAGAGACUGGCCUUGGUAUGGCAGAACUUUAUGAAGCUCUUAGGCCUUUGCUUGAGGAACAUAUGCUCCAGGUCUUAGAUGGUUAUGAGCAGGCAUUCUUGGAAAGAUCAGGCUGCACAACCCAAGAUCAAGUGCUUCACCCAGGUGAAGGCUCGGCCCCCAACUUUUGUUGCCUUUAUGGGUGGGAAGGCACAGCUCUCAAAUACGGACCUCAGGUUCUUGACAAAGUCUUUGAAGGAAGACUUUGAUUUGGGGGGUAUUCCCAUCAGAAUCAUGCAGCGGUCCAUUCCAAAGAAAGUAGGGGGUAUUGGCAAUACCAAAAGCACUUCAUCUGCUGGAAGAACCGCUGAAAGGAUCUCCUCUGACAAGAGAAGUGUCUUCACUUCUGAAAACGCCAAUGUAAUUACAUAGAAGGCAUUUUUGCGAAUAUGUUUUGGGCCAGUCCAUAAAGCUUAAUAAGAUGCUGAGUUUGAACUCAUUACUCAUAAUCCUAUGGUCACAAUUAGGGACUGUUCUUAAGGUCUUUGUACCGUCCAAUACCAUUGUCCUAUGUAAGAACCAUGGGAAUGAAUGUAAUGAUAGCCAUGCCCUAUUAUUUAUAUAUGCCAUCUUCAUUGGAUGCUU